This 253-nucleotide ribosomal RNA is filed under the name uncultured bacterium. Its description in RNAcentral is "partial 16S ribosomal RNA". It matches the Rfam family "Bacterial small subunit ribosomal RNA", at positions 524 to 776 of the family's 1533-position model. The record is from RNAcentral.
UACAGAGGUGGCAAGCGUUGUUCGGAAUUACUGGGCGUAAAGGGCGCGUAGGCGGCCUCGCAAGUCCCGUGUGAAAUCCCUCGGCUCAACUGAGGAAUGGCACGGGAAACUGCGGGGCUUGAGUUCGGGAGAGGGAAGCGGAAUUCCUGGUGUAGCGGUGAAAUGCGCAGAUAUCAGGAGGAACACCCGUGGCGAAAGCGGCUCUCUGGGACGGUACUGACGCUGAGACGCGAAAGCGUGGGGAGCAAACAGG